GAGAUUGUCCGGAUGUCACUGACAUACUGAUGUAGUGGAAGAAAAAUGGGUGUAGCGGUGUUUGGGCACAACGUCAUACAUUUACAGAGACCGGACGAAAAAAAGACAUUGCUUGGAGGAAAGUGAGCGAGGAAGUUGGACUACCUGUCCGUGGGCCAACAGCACAGGAAGUCCCGCCCCCAGUAUGAGAGUGAGGCUCUAUACGACUCUCAGCCCCCCCUGCUGGUGGCCGCCAGUUCCUGCAUGAUGGUGGAGGCGAGUGGAGCUCUGCUGCCCUCUGCUGUUGAUUUCAGGAAAAAGGGUGAGGCUUGCAGAAGAACACCAUCCCAACCGUGAAACAUGGGGG
Long non-coding RNA from Xyrauchen texanus (razorback sucker), 346 nucleotides. RefSeq lists it as uncharacterized. NCBI's taxonomy places the organism in Eukaryota, Metazoa, Chordata, Actinopteri, Cypriniformes, Catostomidae. The record is from RefSeq and is a predicted model, not a curated record. The transcript is spliced from 3 exons.